GCGCAAUGCGUACGCUUUUCAGAUGCCUAAAAAGCAUCUGGAAUAAGGGCCGGGCAAGACCGGUGCCAGCCGCCGCGGUAACACCGGCGGCUCAAGUGGUGGCCGCUAUUAUUGGGCUUAAAGGGUCCGUAGCCGGACCAGUUAGUCCCUUGGGAAAUCUUACGGCUUAACCGUAAGGCUGCCAAUGGAUACUGCUGGUCUUGGGACCGGGAGAGGUAAGAGGUACCUUAGGGGUAGGAGUGAAAUCCUGUAA
RNAcentral lists this ribosomal RNA (253 nucleotides) under uncultured euryarchaeote. RNAcentral describes it as "partial 16S ribosomal RNA". It matches the Rfam family "Archaeal small subunit ribosomal RNA", at positions 393 to 645 of the family's 1478-position model. The record is from RNAcentral. Lineage: Archaea; Methanobacteriati; Methanobacteriota.